Small nucleolar RNA from Corchorus capsularis, 97 nucleotides. It matches the Rfam family "Small nucleolar RNA R64/Z200 family". Rfam says of the family: This family of plant small nucleolar RNAs belong to the C/D class of snoRNA which contain the C (UGAUGA) and D (CUGA) box motifs. This family includes Arabidopsis thaliana snoRNA R64 and Oryza sativa snoRNAs Z200 and J16. Most of the members of the box C/D family function in directing site-specific 2'-O-methylation of substrate RNAs. Lineage: Eukaryota; Viridiplantae; Streptophyta; Magnoliopsida; Malvales; Malvaceae. The record is from Rfam.
CUUCUGUUAUGAUGAUUUAUGAAAAUAAAUUCACAUGUCAGACUUCAGAGAUUUUAAAAAAUCUAUGAGAAGAUAAUUCAUGUCCUCAGAGCAAAAA